GCCUGGGUGGCUGAAUCAUUUAAGCAUUUGACUUUGGCUCAGGUCACGAUCUCACAGUUCAUGGGUUCAAGCCCCAUGUCAGGCU
This 85-nucleotide transfer RNA is filed under the name Felis catus (domestic cat). It matches the Rfam family "tRNA". Rfam says of the family: Transfer RNA (tRNA) molecules are approximately 80 nucleotides in length. Their secondary structure includes four short double-helical elements and three loops (D, anti-codon, and T loops). Lineage: Eukaryota; Metazoa; Chordata; Mammalia; Carnivora; Felidae. The record is from Rfam by way of RNAcentral.